Molecule: ribosomal RNA, 665 nt
Filed under: uncultured bacterium
Lineage: Bacteria
Description: bacterial SSU rRNA
Rfam family: Bacterial small subunit ribosomal RNA
Source: RNAcentral
UAACGCGUGGAUAACCUGCCGUAUACCGGGGGAUAACACUUAGAAAUAGGUGCUAAUACCGCAUAAGCGCACGGCUCCGCAUGGGGCAGUGUGAAAAACUCCGGUGGUAUACGAUGGAUCCGCGUCUGAUUAGCUAGUUGGCGGGGUAACGGCCCACCAAGGCAGCGAUCAGUAGCCGGUCUGAGAGGGUGGACGGCCACAUUGGGACUGAGACACGGCCCAAACUCCUACGGGAGGCAGCAGUGGGGAAUAUUGCACAAUGGGGGAAACCCUGAUGCAGCGACGCCGCGUGAGUGAAGAAGUAUCUCGGUACGUAAAGCUCUAUCAGCAGGGAAGAAAAUGACGGUACCUGACCAAGAAGCCCCGGCUAACUACGUGCCAGCAGCCGCGGUAAUACGUAGGGGGCAAGCGUUAUCCGGAUUUACUGGGUGUAAAGGGAGCGUAGACGGCAGCACAAGUCUGGAGUGAAAUCCCGGGGCUUAACCCCGGAACUGCUUUGGAAACUGUGCGGCUGGAGUGCAGGAGGGGUAAGCGGAAUUCCUAGUGUAGCGGUGAAAUGCGUAGAUAUUAGGAGGAACACCGGUGGCGAAGGCGGCUUACUGGACUGUAACUGACGUUGAGGCUCGAAAGCGUGGGGAGCAAACAGGAUUAGAUACCCUGGUAGU